CCAGUUUUUCCCUGCAUUUAAUAAUUUUGUUCCCUUUAAGGCAUGUUUUUAUUUUCUUGGCUGAAAAGGAGUAGCCUGAGAAGAAGUAACGUGUAGGAAGCCUUGGCCAUGGGACCAAUAGCCUCAUAAAUUCCUGAUCUCUGGAGGACAUCAGGGCCUCCUACCUGUUCCAUUGUGACCUGGGAGUCUCUCCAGCUCCAAGGUGGAGGGAUGGCUUCACUGAACACGGAGUCUGGAAUUCCGUGCACACUCAUGUGACCGGUGUUCCGGAAAAAGAAGCAGGAGGC
This 287-nucleotide long non-coding RNA is filed under the name Homo sapiens (human). RNAcentral describes it as "HSALNT0256946". Lineage: Eukaryota; Metazoa; Chordata; Mammalia; Primates; Hominidae. The record is from RNAcentral.